Molecule: ribosomal RNA, 253 nt
Filed under: uncultured bacterium
Lineage: Bacteria
Description: partial 16S ribosomal RNA
Rfam family: Bacterial small subunit ribosomal RNA
Source: RNAcentral
UACGAAGGGGGCUAGCGUUGCUCGGAAUCACUGGGCGUAAAGCGCACGUAGGCGGCUUCUUAAGUCAGGGGUGAAAUCCUGGAGCUCAACUCCAGAACUGCCUUUGAUACUGAGGAGCUUGAGUCCGGGAGAGGUGAGUGGAACUGCGAGUGUAGAGGUGAAAUUCGUAGAUAUUCGCAAGAACACCAGUGGCGAAGGCGGCUCACUGGCCCGGUACUGACGCUGAGGAGCGAAAGCGUGGGGAGCGAACAGG